UAGCUCAGUUGGUAGAGCGCCGCACUACAAAUGCGGAGGUCGUGGGUUCGAGUCCCAUU
This 59-nucleotide transfer RNA is filed under the name Caudoviricetes sp. Its description in RNAcentral is "tRNA-Cys". It matches the Rfam family "tRNA", at positions 8 to 63 of the family's 71-position model. Rfam says of the family: Transfer RNA (tRNA) molecules are approximately 80 nucleotides in length. Their secondary structure includes four short double-helical elements and three loops (D, anti-codon, and T loops). The record is from RNAcentral. Lineage: Duplodnaviria; Heunggongvirae; Uroviricota; Caudoviricetes.